RNAcentral lists this unclassified non-coding RNA (143 nucleotides) under soil metagenome. Its description in RNAcentral is "partial internal transcribed spacer 1". The record is from RNAcentral.
CAGAGUUGCAAAACUCCCUAAACCAUUGAUGAACCUACCCCUAAACAGUUGCUUCGGCGGCGCCCGGACAGGCCCGCCGGAGACCACUAAACUCUUGUUUUUUAACACUGGCCUCUCUGAGUUUACUGUACUGUAAUAAGUCA